AGUGAACGCUGGCGGUAGGCCUAACACAUGCAAGUCGAACGGCAGCACAGUAAGAGCUUGCUCUUACGGGUGGCGAGUGGCGGACGGGUGAGGAAUACAUCGGAAUCUACUUUUUCGUGGGGGAUAACGUAGGGAAACUUACGCUAAUACCGCAUACGACCUACGGGUGAAAGCAGGGGAUCUUCGGACCUUGCGCGAUUGAAUGAGCCGAUGUCGGAUUAGCUAGUUGGCGGGGUAAAGGCCCACCAAGGCAACGAUCCGUAGCUGGUCUGAGAGGAUGACCGCCAACACUGGAAAUGAGACACGGUCCAGACUCCUACGGGAGGCAGCAGUGGGGAAUAUGGAACAAGGGGCGCAGGCCUGACCCAGCAAUCCCGCGGGGGUGAAGAAGGCCUUCGGUUUGUAAACCCUUUUUGUGGGGAAAGAAAAGCAGCAUGGAAAUACCCCGCUGUCCGGAGGGUACCAAAAGAAUAAGCACCGGCUAACUUCGUG
This 492-nucleotide ribosomal RNA is filed under the name uncultured bacterium. RNAcentral describes it as "partial 16S ribosomal RNA". It matches the Rfam family "Bacterial small subunit ribosomal RNA", at positions 29 to 507 of the family's 1533-position model. The record is from RNAcentral.